AGUUUUGACUGUGUUCCGCUCACUGCGCUGAUGCUGACUGAAGGCUGAAGACACAUCGUUUCUGAGCUCAAGAAACUCCCAGACUAGUGGGGAAGACGCACGUCCACGGGACAGCUUCCCGUGCUCUGUGCUGGUGCCAGGACAGAGGAAAAGACAGAACCCUGGUGGCUGGGAAAGGAAAGCUCCUCUUAGGGUAGGGAAAGGGUUGGCAAAAGUGAAGCUUAUCACAUCUGAUUAGAUCUUUGAAGGCCAGAAAAGAAUUAUCCAUCCCAGGGAGUAAAGGAAAACAUUUUCCAGGCUGAGAGAUGCAGAGAUGAAACUAUGGAAGCUUGGAACAGCGCCGUGUAGGCAACAUUCGGUCCUUCACUCAAGCUGGAGCCUAAUAUUCGGAAGGCAGGAAGGAAAAGUGCCCGGAGAUGGGACUAACACGUGGGCAGAAGCAGAUCAUGAAACACAGUGAAAAGCACUCUUCUUAGGAGCUGGAAAACAUUACUUGGCAUGAAACAAGCAACUAUGAACCAUUGUAGCUGCUCUGGUCAGAUGUUCAUUUCUCAUAGAUCACCUCUUUGCGGUAUAAUUCACUCAUCCAAGGGAGGCAAGAGUGGAGGCGAGGAUGGCCACAAGAACGUCGAUUGCAGCUGUUACUGAAAUCCUGGAUGGCCAACGGCAGCCGGAGAAACAGAAAAAGAGCAUCUAAGUAAUAAUUGGGGAGUAAAAUCUGAGCAACAUGUAAAUUCUAGAUCCUGGGAUAAUUUGGCAUCAACAUUUCCUCGGAAUGAACUUAAGAGACGAAGCUGAGAGAGGCACAGGACAAUCAGUCUCAUACAAGCGUCUUGUCUUUGUCACUCCACAGGGCUCCUGCAGUGAGCUCUAAGUCCCAAGAUACCAUGCAACAUUCAAGAAGGAGCCAUCUACCUUGAGAAUAUAGUCUCAGAUUGCCUCACUAGAGGAAAACAAACAAUUUGAAGAAAUCAAGGAUGCUCUUAUGCCACAAUCAAAAUAAACUAAUCUAAAAUUGGUUAAGGAAACAGCCUAAAGGAUGAAAAAGAUGCAUCUCUCAGCUGGAAAGAUGAUCAGGGAUUUCUAGACUUAUUAACACCAUAUGAAAUAAAUUAGCAUCUCGUCCUUUCCAAAGUGAGAACACCAAAGUAAGUUUUUGAUUUCAUAGCAUUAUACAUGAAAAACUGGACAGGGCUCUAGCCUUUUCUGUAGUCCCAGUGACUCCCCGCAUUGCUAAUUCCAGGGCAAGAUUUCAUCCUCAUGUCUG
Molecule: long non-coding RNA, 1267 nt
Filed under: Macaca mulatta (Rhesus monkey)
Lineage: Eukaryota; Metazoa; Chordata; Mammalia; Primates; Cercopithecidae
Description: lncRNA (ENSMMUG00000054643.1)
Source: RNAcentral